UACGAAGGGGGCUAGCGUUGUUCGGAAUCACUGGGCGUAAAGGGCGCGUAGGCGGCCGAUCAAGUCGGGGGUGAAAGCCUGUGGCUCAACCACAGAAUUGCCUUCGAUACUGUUUGGCUUGAGACCGGAAGAGGUUAGUGGAACUGCGAGUGUAGAGGUGAAAUUCGUAGAUAUUCGCAAGAACACCAGUGGCGAAGGCGGCUGACUGGUCCGGUUCUGACACUGAGAGACGAAAGCUAGGGGAGCAAAUGGG
This 253-nucleotide ribosomal RNA is filed under the name uncultured bacterium. RNAcentral's name for it is "partial 16S ribosomal RNA". It matches the Rfam family "Bacterial small subunit ribosomal RNA", at positions 524 to 776 of the family's 1533-position model. The record is from RNAcentral.